CAAAAUGUAGCUUAACUAAAGCAUUUCGCUUACACCGAACACAUAUCCGUGCGACUCUGAUCAUUUUGA
Molecule: transfer RNA, 69 nt
Filed under: Ameerega parvula (ruby poison frog)
Lineage: Eukaryota; Metazoa; Chordata; Amphibia; Anura; Dendrobatidae
Description: tRNA-Val
Rfam family: tRNA
About the family: Transfer RNA (tRNA) molecules are approximately 80 nucleotides in length.
Source: RNAcentral